Molecule: ribosomal RNA, 460 nt
Filed under: uncultured bacterium
Lineage: Bacteria
Description: partial 16S ribosomal RNA
Rfam family: Bacterial small subunit ribosomal RNA
Source: RNAcentral
CCUACGGGAGGCAGCAGUGAGGAAUAUUGGUCAAUGGACGCAAGUCUGAACCAGCCAUGCCGCGUGCAGGAAGACGGCUCUAUGAGUUGUAAACUUCUUUUGUACGAGGGUAAACGCAGAUACGCGUAUCUGUCUGAAAGUAUCGUACGAAUAAGGAUCGGCUAACUCCGUGCCAGCAGCCGCGGUAAUACGGAGGAUUCAAGCGUUAUCCGGAUUUAUUGGGUUUAAAGGGUGCGUAGUCGGUCGGAUAAGUUAGAGGUGAAAUCCCGAGGCUCAACUUCGGAAUUGCCUGUGAUACUGUGCGGCUAGAGAGUAGUUGCGGUAGGCGGAAUGUAUGGUGUAGCGGUGAAAUGCUUAGAGAUCAUACAGAACACCGAUUGCGAAGGCAGCUUACCAAGCUACUACUGACGUUGAGGCACGAAAGCGUGGGGAGCAAACAGGAUUAGAUACCCCAGUAGUC